UACGGGGGGAGCAAGCGUUGUUCGGAUUUACUGGGCGUAAAGGGCGCGUAGGCGGCCACCGCAAGUCGACUGUGAAAUCUCCGGGCUUAACCCGGAAAGGUCAGCCGAUACUGCGGGGCUAGAGUGCAGAAGGGGCAACUGGAAUUCUCGGUGUAGCGGUGAAAUGCGUAGAUAUCGAGAGGAACACCGGUGGCGAAGGCGGCAUCCUGGACCGGUAUUGACGCUGAGGCGCGAAAGCCAGGGGAGCAAACGGG
RNAcentral lists this ribosomal RNA (254 nucleotides) under uncultured bacterium. RNAcentral's name for it is "partial 16S ribosomal RNA". It matches the Rfam family "Bacterial small subunit ribosomal RNA", at positions 524 to 776 of the family's 1533-position model. The record is from RNAcentral.